AACAAGGCGUACCUGCGGACCUGCGGAAGGAUCAUUACCGAGUUUACAACUCCCAAACCCAUGUGAACAUACCUAUCGUUGCUUCGGCGGAUCGCCCCGGGCGCCUUGCGUGCCCCGGAUCCAGGCGGCCGCCGGGGGACCUUAACUCUUGUUUUUACUGAGAAUCUUCUGAGUCGUUUUUACAAAUAAAUAAAAACUUUUAACAAUGGAUCU
RNAcentral lists this unclassified non-coding RNA (213 nucleotides) under soil metagenome. Its description in RNAcentral is "partial contains 5.8S ribosomal RNA, internal transcribed spacer 2, and large subunit ribosomal RNA". The record is from RNAcentral.